Long non-coding RNA from Pongo pygmaeus (Bornean orangutan), 4246 nucleotides. RefSeq lists it as uncharacterized. The transcript has 3 exons. NCBI's taxonomy places the organism in Eukaryota, Metazoa, Chordata, Mammalia, Primates, Hominidae. The record is from RefSeq and is a predicted model, not a curated record.
UGAGGAGCGUCUCUGCCUGGCCGCCCAUCGUCUGGGAUGUGAGGAGCCCCUCUGCCCGGCCGCCCCGUCUGGGAUGUGAGGAGCGCCUCUGCCCGGCCGCCCCGUCUGGGAAGUGAGGAGCGCCUCUGCCCGGUCGCUCCCUCUGAGAGGUGAGGAGCACCUCUGCCCAGCCGCCCUGUCUGGGAGGUGAGGAGCACCUCUGCCUGGCCGCCACCCCGUCUGGGAGGUGAGGAGCGCCUCUGCCCGGCCGCCCCGUCUGGGAAGUGAGGAGUGCCUCUACCUGGCCGCCCCAUCUGGGAAGUGAGGAGCGCCUCUGCCUGGCCGCCCCGUCUGGGAGAUGAGGAGCGCCUCUGCCCGGCCGCCCAACGUCUGGGAAGUGAGGAGCACCUCUGCCCGGCCGCCCCGUCUGGGAGGUGAGGAGUGCCUCUGCCCGGCCGCCACCCCGUCUGGGAGGAAGUGAGGAGCACCUCUGCCUGGCCGCCCCGUCUGGGAGAUGAGGAGCACCUCUGCCCGGCCGCCCCGUCUGGGAAGUGAGGAGCACCUCUGCCCGGCCGCCACCCCGUCUGGGAGGUGAGGAGCGCCUCUGCCCGGCCACCACCCCCUCUGGGAAGCAAGGAGCGCCUCUGCCUGGCCACCCCGUCUGGGAGGAUAAAUUUACCAGAGACAACUGGAAGAAAAAAUCUGGCCCAGAGUUCCAUGAACAAUUCAUUCUUCAACCAAAGACUGGCUCUUUUCUCUGGGAUGGCCAUCAUCUUCAGCCAAGGGUGUGGCAUAGGGGAGAUGAGAUGGGAAAUGGCACUGUCCAGCUGGUUGGAUGGGCCUGGUCCAUGGGGAGUGACAGAUGUCCGAGCCAGAGACCCAACAUCUGAAAGAAAGUCUGUGACUGAGAAGAUCAAUGCAUCUGAGCAUUAUUCAGCAGUACCACCACCUCUUUGAACCCUGUGCAAAGCACCCAUCAAGACUGAAAAAUAUCAUGAAGAGAAACAGUGAUUCACUUGGGAAAAAAAUUUAGCCUGCCCCUUCUCAAGACACAUGCUACUGUCCAAGAGCUACUCUACUGCGGUCCAUGGAUUAUUUUUAGUUAUCAAAAUUUUGAACCAACAAAUUAUUUCUGUAAUUUCAAGAAUGACUACAAUCUAAGUAAUCUUACCAAACCCACUCAACCUAAGAGCUGUAAUUACCUUUGGUGCUAUGCUGUUUUGACUAUUAGAGGUUGGUAGGCAAUAAUAGAUGCAUGAAACAGAUUGAGUUCCCAGAAAAGAAUGUUUUUGCCUUGUACAUUAUAAGCUCUAAAGGUGUAAAUGGCUUUAGUAUCAUCAAGAUCAUUAAAAAUUAAGAGUGAAUCAAGAAAAACCAACAAGUAUUUGGAAACACACUUGGCUUUGAAAGAGAAAGAAUUAUAUCAAAAUACAUUCUCAUAUUGCUUUCAGAGAAGGGCAAAGCUUGAAAUCACUUAGAAGGCUGAACCAUAUCACCACGACAAUGGAGUCAGAACUAACUGAAUCUAAAGGAACACGUCACCAACUAUUUAAAUAUUUCUUCUAAAUAAUUGACUCUUAAGCAGUAUUUCAAAAAUUAAGUGAUAGAAAAAGUAUAUAAUCAGGAAAUAUUCAUGUAUUAGCUGAAAAAAUCUGAGAUAUAAAUAAAUACAACACUUGAUCACACAAAUGAUUAGCAGGAAUCUACUGGAGGUUCCCAGAGAAAAUAAUUUCCCUUAUACAGCUGAAUGGCUACAUACCAAAAUUUAACUCUAAUUAAGGUUUAGUGAAAUCAUGUCAUACUACUCUUGCCAUAAGUCAGUGAUUCUUAAAAGCUUUUAAAAAUACAGAUACUAAAGUCCUCUCCCUAUAGCUUCUGACUUAUUAGGCUUGGUGGUGGGGCUUAAGCGUAUGUUUUCUUAAUAAAUUCCCAUUAAACACUUAUGCGCUGUUAGUGGGAAUAUAGAUUAGUUCAGACACUGUAGAGAGCAGUUUGGAGAUUCCUAAAAGCACUUAUAACAGAGCUAAUAUUCGACCCAGCAAUCCCAUUACUGGGUACAUACCUAAAGGAAAAUAGAUCAGUAUACCAAAAAGACACAUGCACUUUUAUGUUCAUGGCUGCACUAUUCACAAUAGCAAAGACAUGGAGUCAACCUAGGUGCCCAUCAACAGUGGAUUGGAUAAAGAAAAUGUGGUACAUAUACACCAUGGAAUACUUCACAGAUAUAAAAAGAAUAACAUCAUGUCCCUUGUAGCAACAUGGAUGGAGAUGGAGCCCAUAAUCCUAAGUGAAUCAGCAUAGGCAAAGAAAAUCAACUACUGCAUGUUCUCACUUAUAAGUGAGAGGUAAACAUUGACCACUCAUGGACAUAGACACGGGAACAAUAGACACUGCAGACUACUAGAGGGUAGAGAGAGGGAAGUAUGGGUUGAAAAAUUUACCAAUUGAGUACUAUCUUCACACCUGAGUGCAAUAUAUCCACAUAACAAACCUGCACGUGUUAUCUAAAAUAAAAGUUGGAAAAACAAAAACAAAGACAAAAAUUAAUAAAAACAAAUAAAUUCCCAUUCUCUAAAGGUAACCAAAGUUUGAAGACCACAGACUCGAUUAGAGGUUCUUAACUCUGGUUGCACAUUGUAGAUCCUUUGGAAACUUGGAAAAAUUCCUUGGCCCAGGCCCCAUCCCAAACAAAUUAAACAAAUCAAAUUAGAAUCAAACAAAUUAAAUUAGAAUCUUUGGAAUCCAAGUAUCAUUAUAUUUUAGAGGUCUUCAAGUCAUUAUAAUGGGCAGACAGGGUUGAGAACCACUGUGAUUAUUUUGACUUCUCACAAACUCAGCUCUGGUCAUUAUAAUCAUACUAGCAAUUUUUAUCUGAAGAUCUUCAACACAAUAAUUUAAAGGGAGAGAAAACUGCUAACUAAAAGUGGACCAUUGACACAUGGUCCAACAGCUCUAAACACAAUGGGGGAAAUGUAGCAUGCUUUUAUUCUGUUUAUAUAAGUCAUAGUCUGCAAAAAGCAAAUGGUAUUCUCUACCUAUGGUAUGCACAGUUAAAGUCAAGGCUUGGUCUGUAAUAUAUUUUAAUCUAAGGUAUUUAAAACACAUUAAAGAACUGAGGAACUUAUUAAACAUGCACUUUUUCUUUCAGAAAAAAUAUUCUGUCCUAUAUUCAGAAUCUUUAUUUAUGUAGCUAGCUUUGUUUGGGCAAUUUUGAAAUAAAGGUUCUCUUUAGUAGUUAUUUCUGAGAUAGAAACGAUAAAUAAUUGUUACUCUAUACAUAACUAAAAAAAAACCUUAUAUUCUCCUUUUCCUACUUAUAAUGAGAGUAGCGUUCAAUAGUUAUGUUGUUAUUGUUACACUGAUAUUUUUCUUAAUCCAGAGAUGCUUUCUUCCCACAGAAUUCACUGCAGCUAGAUCAGACACUUUCUAUAGGCUGUCUGCCCCGACAAGGAAAUAGCUUUUCUUAUUGAGCUCUUCUGCAGUGAUAUUUUUAUAAUGGAAUUUUGUCUGUAACCUAUUUGUCUCUAUUAAGCCCACCAGUUUCAAAAAAAAAAAAAAAAAAAAAAAAAAGCAGUUAUUUAGAUAGUUUACAAAAACUAAAGAAUUUUUAAUAUAGUUUAAAAACUAAAAUUGCUACACAAGAAUGACAUGGAAAUUGUGUACUGUAAAUACCUUACAAGUCUGGUUAUUUGUAAAGUAUCUGAUUCAAGCCUUAUGAAAAAACAAAUAACUUUUCUAAACCUGGGUUUUAUCUGUAAAAUUGGAGCAAUGAUGCUAUCUCUCAAUAUCCUCAUAGGGAUGUCAUGAAGGUAAAAAGGGGAAAGGCAGAUGAGGAAACUUGGCAAGCCAAUAUAUAAAAUAAAUUAAUUUAUUACUAUGAAAAUGCUGUAGUUGAGGAAAACAAUGGUAAAAUAAAAUAGUUAAUGUUAAGGAUUAUCACUAAUUUAUCAUUUUAAAGAAUAAAUUUAUUAAGAGAGCAGAGUUCGUCUAUUUUAAAUCAAUUUAAUUUUGGUCUCGAAUUAAAUACAAUCUAAUUCGGGGUAUUGUGAAGUGCCCGAAGUUGGAGACUAAUAGUUUAUUUAAAAUAAGGGAAGUUCUUGUUCUGAUUCUUUAAAACAACAGACAGCAACAGAAAAACAAAACAGCGAUUACAUUUGAGAGCCAGAAAAACUUUGAAAGGAAACGGAAACUUUUUAUAUGCAUCUGGUAUAAUAAUCAGAUCACUUAUGUUUGUCAUUUUGAGUGACUUUGGAAAUUAGGUACCAAA